Molecule: transfer RNA, 85 nt
Filed under: Sphaerobolus stellatus SS14
Lineage: Eukaryota; Fungi; Basidiomycota; Agaricomycetes; Geastrales; Sphaerobolaceae
Description: tRNA-Pro
Rfam family: tRNA
About the family: Transfer RNA (tRNA) molecules are approximately 80 nucleotides in length. Their secondary structure includes four short double-helical elements and three loops (D, anti-codon, and T loops).
Source: RNAcentral
GGCGUGGUGGUCUAGAGGUAUGAUUCCUUCUUAGGGUUCUUGACUCGUCUGGAGGAGGUCCCGGGUUCAAUUCCCGGCCAGGCCC